GACGAACGCUGGCGGCGUGCUUAACACAUGCAAGUCGAACGCUGAAGACCUGGCUUUUGUUGGGUUGGAUGAGUGGCGAACGGGUGAGUAACACGUGAGUAACCUGCCCUCUUCUUUGGGAUAACGCCCGGAAACGGGUGCUAAUACUGGAUAUUCACUGGCCUUCGCAUGGGGGUUGGUGGAAAGGUUUGUUCUGGUGGGGGAUGGGCUCGCGGCCUAUCAGCUUGUUGGUGGGGUGAUGGCCUACCAAGGCUUUGACGGGUAGCCGGCCUGAGAGGGUGACCGGUCACAUUGGGACUGAGAUACGGCCCAGACUCCUCGGGAGGCAGCAGUGGGGAAUAUUGCACAAUGGGCGAAAGCCUGAUGCAGCGACGCCGCGUGAGGGAUGGAGGCCUUCGGGUUGUAAACCUCUUUCGCUCAUGGUCAAGCCGCAACUGUGGGUUGUGGUGAGGGUAGUGGGUAAAGAAGCGCCGGCUAACUACGUG
This 485-nucleotide ribosomal RNA is filed under the name uncultured bacterium. Its description in RNAcentral is "partial 16S ribosomal RNA". It matches the Rfam family "Bacterial small subunit ribosomal RNA", at positions 28 to 507 of the family's 1533-position model. The record is from RNAcentral.